This is a long non-coding RNA of Homo sapiens (human), 764 nucleotides long. The record is from Ensembl. Lineage: Eukaryota; Metazoa; Chordata; Mammalia; Primates; Hominidae.
AGUAAACAUAGAGAGGAAGAAAGGAAGAAGAUGAAAUCAGGAGUACAGAUUAAAGUGUUAUCUUUGGAAGACAGGCAAGACAUCCUUUGGGACAGAAGGGAAGGAGAGAAAGCUGGGGAACAUGCAGAUAAUACAAGAGAGAUGGGAUCUUGCUAUGUUGCCCAGGCUGAUCUCGAACACCGGAGCUCAAGUGAUCCUCCUGCCUCAGCCUCCCAAAGUGCUGAGAUUACAGUCAUGAGCCACCAUGCCUGGCACGAUAGAGAGUCUCUCUCUUGUGGCCCAGGCUGGAGUGCAGUGACACAAUCUCAGCUCAUUGCAACCUCCACCUCCCAGGUUCAAGUGAUUUUCCUGCCUCAGCCUCUCGAGUAGCUGGGACUACAGGCAUUCCUGUAAACUUAUAUUCAUGAAGAAAGUCAGAGUACUUGUUGCAGAUGCAAUGCUAGGUCUUCAGCCAUGUGCUAUAGAAACAGAAGGUGACAAAUAUAACCAAGGAUUGGGAGGAGAAAAAGAAGAAAGCCAAUUUGGGAAAUGAGACUGUAAAGUUUAUAAUGCUACUGAUUUUCAAACAUUUUCAGAAGCAAUGGAAAGAAGAAUGCGAAGAAAAUGAGUUUAUUUUCCAAAAUGCUUUUUUUGUUAUUGUUUUGCAAUUUCCCUUUGUUAACAUCAUAUAGGUUAUGGGGGUUUCUGUUUUGAAAAAAAUAAAUACUGCACCGUGUGUGGAUUGCUACUCAGCACUCAGCAAUAAACAAGUCAAUGAAUGCUCU